GUGGGAGCGAGCUUGCUCGCGAAUGCGGCUUGGCAUUCAGCACUGAUGCAAGCUGAUCCACCGUUUUCGCGAGCAAGCUCGCUCCCAC
Molecule: non-coding RNA, 88 nt
Filed under: Pseudomonas helmanticensis
Lineage: Bacteria; Pseudomonadati; Pseudomonadota; Gammaproteobacteria; Pseudomonadales; Pseudomonadaceae
Source: RNAcentral